ACUCAAAGGAAUAGACGGGGACCCGCACAAGCGGAGGAUGAUGUGGUUUAAUAUGACGGUACGCGUAGAACCUUACCAAGGCUUGACAUCCUGGGAAUCUGCUAGAGAUAGCGGAGUGCCUUCGGGAGCCCAGUGACAGGUGCUGCAUGGCCGUCGUCAGCUCGUGUCGUGAGAUGUUGGGUUAAGUCCCGCAACGAGCGCAACCCUUGUCGUAUGUUGUAUUUUUCAUACGAGACUGCCCGGGCCAACCGGGAGGAAGGUGGGGAUGAGGUCAGGUCGGCAUGGCCCUUACGCCUUGGGCCACACACGUCAUACAAUGGCCGGUACAACGCGUCGCUAAACCGCGAGGUGGAGCUAAUCGCACCAAAACCGGUCUCAGUUCGGAUUGCAGGCUGCAACUCGCCUGCAUGAAGUCGGAUUCGCUAGUAACCGUGGGUCAGCACACCACGGUGAAUACGUUCCCGGGUCUUGCACACACCGCCCGU
RNAcentral lists this ribosomal RNA (485 nucleotides) under uncultured bacterium. Its description in RNAcentral is "partial 16S ribosomal RNA". It matches the Rfam family "Bacterial small subunit ribosomal RNA", at positions 899 to 1397 of the family's 1533-position model. The record is from RNAcentral.